AAUGUACACGAUAAUUAAAGGAAGAGAU
Molecule: small RNA, 28 nt
Filed under: Bombyx mori (domestic silkworm)
Lineage: Eukaryota; Metazoa; Arthropoda; Insecta; Lepidoptera; Bombycidae
Description: ovarian small RNA-10847
Source: RNAcentral